UACGUAGGUGGCGAGCGUUGUCCGGAUUUACUGGGCGUAAAGAGCUCGUAGGCGGCUUGUCGCGUCGGAUGUGAAAGCCCGGGGCUUAACCCUGGGAUGCCGGUGGAUACUGUCGGGCUCGAGUCCGGAAGAGGCGAGUGGAAUUCCUGGUGUAGCGGCGAAAUGCGCAGAUAUCAGGAAGAACACCCGUGGCGAAGGCGGUUCUCUGGGACGGUACUGACGCUGAGGCGCGAAAGCGUGGGGAGCGAACAGG
This 253-nucleotide ribosomal RNA is filed under the name uncultured bacterium. RNAcentral's name for it is "partial 16S ribosomal RNA". It matches the Rfam family "Bacterial small subunit ribosomal RNA", at positions 524 to 776 of the family's 1533-position model. The record is from RNAcentral.